UGCAAUGUACAACAGGACAAU
Molecule: non-coding RNA, 21 nt
Filed under: Caenorhabditis elegans
Lineage: Eukaryota; Metazoa; Nematoda; Chromadorea; Rhabditida; Rhabditidae
Source: RNAcentral